RNAcentral lists this ribosomal RNA (255 nucleotides) under uncultured bacterium. Its description in RNAcentral is "partial 16S ribosomal RNA". It matches the Rfam family "Bacterial small subunit ribosomal RNA", at positions 524 to 776 of the family's 1533-position model. The record is from RNAcentral.
UACAGAGACCCCGAGCGUUACCCGGAUUUAUUGGGCGUAAAGGGUUCGUAGGUGGCGUAGUAAGUUGAAAGUUAAAACUCAUCGGCUUAACCUUUGAGGUGCUUUCAAUACUGCUAUGCUUAGAGGGCGUUAGAGGCAAACGGAACCGAUGGAGUAGGGGUGAAAUCCGUUGAUAUCAUCGGGAACACCAAAUGCGAAGGCAGUUUGCUGGGGCGACCCUGACACUGAGGAACGAAAGCGUGGGGAGCAAAAAGG